RNAcentral lists this ribosomal RNA (497 nucleotides) under uncultured bacterium. RNAcentral describes it as "partial 16S ribosomal RNA". It matches the Rfam family "Bacterial small subunit ribosomal RNA", at positions 28 to 507 of the family's 1533-position model. The record is from RNAcentral.
GAUGAACGCUGGCGGCGUGCCUAACACAUGCAAGUCGAACGAACAGGCGAGGAUCUUGUUCCGUCCACGAUAGCGGAGGGCGGGUGUGUAACACGUAUGUAACCUACCUGUCAUUCGGGGAUAACUACGGGAAACGGGAGCUUAUACGGGAGGAGAUUCUGAACCACAGGGGUGGAUAGUGAAAGAUGGCGGUGCGGGCAGUUAUAGAGGGACCUCGGCUGUAUUAGGUAGUUGGUAAGGUCACGGCUUACCAAGGCAACGAUACGUAGCCGACCUGAGAGGCUGAUAGGCGACACUGGAACGGAGCCACGGACCAGACUACUGAGGGACGCAGCAGACUGGAAUCUGCCGCAACGGGGGAAAGCCUUACGGAGCAAGGCCGAGUGAGUUACAACAGCCCUCCGUUCGUAAAACUCUGUUUUUAGUUGAGAACAAACUUGUACUGAAAUGUGGCGUUCUUGACGGUACCUAAUCAAAAAGCACCGGCUAACUACGUG